RNAcentral lists this ribosomal RNA (245 nucleotides) under uncultured bacterium. RNAcentral describes it as "partial 16S ribosomal RNA". It matches the Rfam family "Bacterial small subunit ribosomal RNA", at positions 524 to 768 of the family's 1533-position model. The record is from RNAcentral.
UACAGGGGGGGCAAGCGUUGUUCGGAAUUACUGGGCGUAAAGGGCUUGUAGGUGGCCAACUAAGUCACACGUGAAAUCCCCAGGCUUAACCUGGGAACUGCGUGUGAUACUGGAUGGCUUGAAUCCGGGAGAGGGAUGCGGAAUUCCAGGUGUAGCGGUGAAAUGCGUAGAUAUCUGGAGGAACACCGGUGGCGAAGGCGGCAUCCUGGACCGGUAUUGACACUGAAAAGCGAAAGGCAGGGGAG